CAGAACUUCCCACAGCUGCUGAUCGCUCUCCUGGGGAUGAGUUGUCAACUUCCACUACUAUCAGGAAUUCCUUGGAGGGGCUAAGGAAGUUCUGCACCUCCUUCUUGGCACCACUGGAGAGCAAGUGGAGGCGGCCAUCGUUGACCAACUUUUCUGCCGGGAGACUUUCAGCCAGGGGUUGUCUGCCAUGGUGAGAGCCGUCGGAAAACAACGCUGGUGGAUCUCUCCCAUGGUGGAAAGCAUCAUCGCUGCUCUCGAGGACCAGGAAUUUCCUGGGAUGCCACAAGUCGCGGCAGCUAUCUACAUUGAGCUGCUCAGCUGCCGUCUGGG
Molecule: non-coding RNA, 330 nt
Organism: Podarcis muralis (Common wall lizard)
Lineage: Eukaryota; Metazoa; Chordata; Lepidosauria; Squamata; Lacertidae
Source: RefSeq, a predicted model, not a curated record